UCACUCCCCGCGCUCACGUGACCAGGCCUACAAGACGUCGGCGCCGCUGCAGCUACACCCGGUUACCCUGGCAACGCCUCCGGGGCCUAGCUCCCACCGCGAAGCCUCGGGAUGCCGCAGGAGAUCCCCCCGCUACGAUCCUUGAACAGCCGCCAGCAGGCUCACGCCGUCUUCUGUAACCGGAGUCCCCGCACCGUGCAGCCCAUCUGGGUGAACUUUCAGGGGGACCCGCAGCCCUACCCGGCUCUGCCACCCGGCACCGGGCGCAGGAUGAUCACCUAUCUGGGACAUAUUUGGUUGUUCCGUGAAGUUGAGACGGACGUGGCCCUGACGGUAAACAAGAAGGAGAUAUACGUGCCUUCCCCUAAUGAGAACGGGCCGCCAGCUGUUGUAAACAUCUCUUUGCCAGUCUUCAGCCUGAAAGAUCGCUGCCUGCAGGUGGUCAGGAGUCUGGUAAAGCCAGAAGAUUACCGAAAGCUGGAGAUUGUGGCGUCCCUGUAUGAAGACCUUGAAAACCGCCCAAAUAUCACUAAGGACUUGCGCAGACUAGCAGUUGGUUUCUGGGAACAGAGUAGAUUAGAAGACGCCGAAAGCUGACCGCUAAACUGAAGACAGUGCAUUGGGAAAAGUUCUUCAGUAUAAUUGUGUUAUUCUUCUUACGCCCCAGAUGGGUGACGAGGUGGAGACCCAAGGCCAAAAUGGGACCCACCAUAGGAAAUCUGGGUAUUUCCAGUCUCCGGUAGAAUGCAGAUCUCUCUCAUCCCAACAAUCAGCCAGGUUAUAUUUCAGCACCGUGCUAAUGAAUGCAGAAUCGGAGUGAUGGGACAAAGCUUUGGGACCCCUUUGUAAAUAAUUAAAUAAAUUGCAUCGGAAUUACCUCACCCACGCUCCCUGAUAAGGUUACAGGGGUGGAGAGCAAAGGAGCGGGAGGGCAGGAAUAAAUAAUAUAUAUAUUUUUCAUUACUUAUGUACGUUGAUGUGAAUCCUUUGUAAUAUUUCCUGUAAAGCUUUAUACAUAUUGUAUUUGUGCCUCUGAUUAAACUUGUUAGCCUGUUCUUA
Molecule: RNA transcript, 1059 nt
Organism: Pseudophryne corroboree (corroboree frog)
Lineage: Eukaryota; Metazoa; Chordata; Amphibia; Anura; Myobatrachidae
Gene name: von Hippel-Lindau disease tumor suppressor-like
Exons: 4
Source: RefSeq, a predicted model, not a curated record